CGGAAUCAUUGGGCGUAAAGCGCGCGUAGGCGGCCCGGUAAGUCCGCUGUGAAAGUCCAGGGCUCAACCCUGGAAAGCCGGUGGGUACUGUCGGGCUCGAGUCCGGAAGAGGCGAGUGGAAUUCCUGGUGUAGCGGUGGAAUGCGCAGAUAUCAGGAGGAACACCGAUAGCGAAGGCAGCUCGCUGGGACGGUACUGACGCUGAGGAGCGAAAGCGUGGGGAGCGAACAGG
Molecule: ribosomal RNA, 231 nt
Filed under: uncultured bacterium
Lineage: Bacteria
Description: partial 16S ribosomal RNA
Rfam family: Bacterial small subunit ribosomal RNA
Source: RNAcentral